AAGUCGUAACAAGGUUUCCGUAGGUGAACCUGCGGAAGGAUCAUUAACACGUAUCCAAACGUUAAAACAACCCUGUGAAUAUUGAAUCUCAGUUCCCCCAGGGCAGAAAAAUGGGCUUCCUCUAGUAAAUCCAUUGUCUUAACAAGGUUUUGAGUUAGAGGAUGGCGCACGAGUAGCACCUGUAUUACCAAACACUUUCAGAUUGAUGGUUGCUUGGGGGCACCAGGGGUGGAUCUUGGAAACGCUCGACCCGAAUUGUGCAAGGGCAGCGCAGUCAACGAUCGGUGGUCCACACGGCCAUCGACCGGGGGUCGUUACUCCCACGUGGGGCCUUAGUUCAUUCAGGUUGAACAUGAUGCAUGUCUACCGCGCCCGACGAAAGUCCGACGCACCCCUAACCGAACAACUGUUAACAAUGGAUAUCUUGGUUCUC
RNAcentral lists this unclassified non-coding RNA (433 nucleotides) under fungal sp. Its description in RNAcentral is "partial internal transcribed spacer region". The stretch from base 1 to 46 matches the Rfam family "Eukaryotic small subunit ribosomal RNA", at positions 1786 to 1831 of the family's 1831-position model. Lineage: Eukaryota; Fungi. The record is from RNAcentral.